This is a long non-coding RNA of Sitodiplosis mosellana (orange wheat blossom midge), 463 nucleotides long. RefSeq lists it as uncharacterized. The transcript has 2 exons. The record is from RefSeq and is a predicted model, not a curated record. Lineage: Eukaryota; Metazoa; Arthropoda; Insecta; Diptera; Cecidomyiidae.
UGACAAUCGUGGCAUUGCUUGUGUUUAUUGUUAGCAAUAUACGGAUUUAUCUUUUUUUUUAUUAUUAUUAUUAAUUAAAUCAUAGGCGCGAGGAUUAUCUUGUCAAACAAUUUCAUAAGCCUUCUAUAUGGAAAGCCAAUCUCCAUUUUGUUGUCUCUCUUACUCGCUCACUCGCUCGCUCUCAACAUCUGAACGUUCAAUGAUCGCAUGCGCGUAUAUCGACUGUAGAUGACACCCGGCUUUAUUCAAAACAAUGCGUGAAUAUUUUCGUACACAUAGGUAUUCAAGCUUGAAUUCGUUCGUUAUGCUUUUUUAUUCUGGAUAGAUCGGAAAAUUUGUCGCAUAAAUUGAUAUGAUAAACUAAUAAAUAUUCUCAAAAUGAAAUAUUGAGAUUUCAAUCAGAAAAAAAAAUUACGACUAAAUAUAGUAGCCACUAGAUUGGCAAUUGUGAUCGUAUUCGUAA